This 253-nucleotide ribosomal RNA is filed under the name uncultured bacterium. Its description in RNAcentral is "partial 16S ribosomal RNA". It matches the Rfam family "Bacterial small subunit ribosomal RNA", at positions 524 to 776 of the family's 1533-position model. The record is from RNAcentral.
GACGAACCGAGCGAACGUUGUUCGGAAUCACUGGGCGUAAAGGGCGUGUAGGCGGGAAUGUAAGUCGGGCGUGAAAUCCCUAGGCUCAACCUAGGAACUGCACUCGAAACUGCGUUUCUUGAGUAUCGGAGAGGAAAGCGGAAUACCUGGUGUAGAGGUGAAAUUCGUAGAUAUCAGGUGGAACACCAGUGGCGAAGGCGGCUUUCUGGACGAUAACUGACGCUGAGACGCGAAAGCGUGGGGAGCAAACAGG